UACGAAGGGUGCAAGCGUUAAUCGGAAUUACUGGGCGUAAAGGGUGCGUAGGCGGGUCUUUUAAGUCAGGGGGUGAAAUCCUGGAGCUCAACUCCAGAACUGCCUUUGAUACUGAAGAUCUUGAGUUCGGGAGAGGUGAGUGGAACUGCGAGUGUAGAGGUGAAAUUCGUAGAUAUUCGCAAGAACACCAGUGGCGAAGGCGGCUCACUGGCCCGAUACUGACGCUGAGGCACGAAAGCGUGGGGAGCAAACAGG
Molecule: ribosomal RNA, 255 nt
Filed under: uncultured bacterium
Lineage: Bacteria
Description: partial 16S ribosomal RNA
Rfam family: Bacterial small subunit ribosomal RNA
Source: RNAcentral